Molecule: ribosomal RNA, 358 nt
Filed under: uncultured bacterium
Lineage: Bacteria
Description: bacterial SSU rRNA
Rfam family: Bacterial small subunit ribosomal RNA
Source: RNAcentral
GAUGAACGCUGGCGGCGUGCCUAACACAUGCAAGUCGAGGGAUUCUCUUCGGAGAAGAGCGGCGGACGGGUGAGUAACGCGUGGGUAACCUGCCCUGUACACACGGAUAACAUACCGAAAGGUAUGCUAAUACGAGAUAAUAUGCUUUUAUCGCAUGGUAGAAGUAUCAAAGCUUUUGCGGUACAGGAUGGACCCGCGUCUGAUUAGCUAGUUGGUAAGGUAACGGCUUACCAAGGCGACGAUCAGUAGCCGACCUGAGAGGGUGAUCGGCCACAUUGGAACUGAGACACGGUCCAAACUCCUACGGGAGGCAGCAGUGGGGAAUAUUGCACAAUAGGGCGAAAGCCUGAUGCAGCAA